This 466-nucleotide ribosomal RNA is filed under the name Enterobacter hormaechei. RNAcentral's name for it is "bacterial SSU rRNA". It matches the Rfam family "Bacterial small subunit ribosomal RNA", at positions 30 to 482 of the family's 1533-position model. The record is from RNAcentral. Lineage: Bacteria; Pseudomonadati; Pseudomonadota; Gammaproteobacteria; Enterobacterales; Enterobacteriaceae.
AUUGAACGCUGGCGGCAGGCCUAACACAUGCAAGUCGAACGGUAACAGGAAGCAGCUUGCUGCUUUGCUGACGAGUGGCGGACGGGUGAGUAAUGUCUGGGAAACUGCCUGAUGGAGGGGGAUAACUACUGGAAACGGUAGCUAAUACCGCAUAACGUCGCAAGACCAAAGAGGGGGACCUUCGGGCCUCUUGCCAUCGGAUGUGCCCAGAUGGGAUUAGCUAGUAGGUGGGGUAACGGCUCACCUAGGCGACGAUCCCUAGCUGGUCUGAGAGGAUGACCAGCCACACUGGAACUGAGACACGGUCCAGACUCCUACGGGAGGCAGCAGUGGGGAAUAUUGCACAAUGGGCGCAAGCCUGAUGCAGCCAUGCCGCGUGUAUGAAGAAGGCCUUCGGGUUGUAAAGUACUUUUCAGCGGGGAGGAAGGCGAUAAGGUUAAUAACCUUGUCGAUUGACGUUACCCGC